Molecule: long non-coding RNA, 1115 nt
Organism: Mesocricetus auratus (golden hamster)
Lineage: Eukaryota; Metazoa; Chordata; Mammalia; Rodentia; Cricetidae
Exons: 4
Source: RefSeq, a predicted model, not a curated record
GCUUUAGAAGAAGCUGCAGUAAGUAUCUGUAAGACGUGUGACAAAGAACUACUAUAACAAGGACUCAGGAAGACAACACCCACAACUCACUGGAGAAAGAGGCCAUGGGAUGUCCACACCCAGCCUGUAUCACAUGAGAAGACUUCAGUCUCCAGGCUGGUGCAGAAUAAACUCUGCUAGUGGGCCCAAGCCAGGGACAACCAUCAGCUAUAGCAGCCCACAGUGUCAGGACAGGUGACAGCUGCUGAGGCAGAGCCAGCCCAUGCCUUGGAACUCCAGUUUCCAAAUGACAACAGGAAGAAUCUCUGCUGUUAUACACAUCUCCAGAGUGACAUUCUCAGAAGUCAUUGACUGUUUCAUGGCAGGACCAGAAAUGCUGAAAAUAGACCAAGAUUUAGUCAAAGAUUUGGGCAAGCUUCGGCUGGAAAGGAUCGACUACCUCCACCCAAAUUAUAAACAGGAGAUUUCUUACCUUGGAGGACCCAGGAGUACAAGGCAUGGCCAUCUGGAUAUCUGGGCCACACGAGAGAAACAAUCUGGGCAGACACUGGCAUGAUGGGUGUGUGGGCCGCACCCUGGAGUCAUUGUUUGCCCAACUGCUAUCUGGUCUUCAAGAGAUCCAGGACAAGAAGAUCUCAUGUGUGUUAGCAACACCAACACCUCAGAGGAAACUGGAACCACCACAAGGACCAACACAGGCUUCAAGACUGUGGUCCAAACCCUCAUAUCCUGACAUCAAAUGUUAUCUAGCCACUCUGAUGACCUUGACCCUCAACUUUGCCACUCCGUUGACCUUGACCUUCAAUUUGAUAUGAUUACAAACAUCAAGUAACUUAAAAAUGUGAUGACCCUGGAGUACAGACACAAUUUUAAUGUGGAUGUCUAGUAGAAAACACUGAAAUCCACACUCUGGUGGAAACUAGACAUAGUUUCUUAUGUUUCUUUAGUGUCACCAGAGCCUACCUAGAAGAAGCAAGACUUAUACCCUGAUUUCUAUAGAUCUCUGCCUUUAUCUUAUGUACCUAACACAGUGUCAUCUUACAAUAUUCUUUGUCAAGUAUCUCCUGCCCUACCAUUAUGUAUAUAGUCUUCAAUAAAUAUAAGGUUUAAUUGUG